This 440-nucleotide ribosomal RNA is filed under the name uncultured bacterium. RNAcentral's name for it is "partial 16S ribosomal RNA". It matches the Rfam family "Bacterial small subunit ribosomal RNA", at positions 338 to 795 of the family's 1533-position model. The record is from RNAcentral.
CCUACGGGAGGCAGCAGUGGGGGAUAUUGCACAAUGGGGGAAACCCUGAUGCAGCGACGCCGCGUGAGCGAAGAAGUAAUUCGUUAUGUAAAGCUCUAUCAGCAGGGAAGAAAAUGACGGUACCUGAGUAAGAAGCCCCGGCUAACUACGUGCCAGCAGCCGCGGUAAUACGUAGGGGGCAAGCGUUAUCCGGAUUUACUGGGUGUAAAGGGAGCGUAGACGGCAGUGCAAGUCUGGAGUGAAAGGCGGGGGCUCAACCCCCGGACUGCUUUGGAAACUGUACGGCUGGAGUGCCGGAGAGGUAAGUGGAAUUCCUAGUGUAGCGGUGAAAUGCGUAGAUAUUAGGAGGAACACCAGUGGCGAAGGCGGCUUGCUGGACUGUAACUGACGUUGAGGCUCGAAAGCGUGGGGAGCAAACAGGAUUAGAUACCCGUGUAGUC